This 434-nucleotide ribosomal RNA is filed under the name uncultured Paraglomus. RNAcentral's name for it is "bacterial SSU rRNA". It matches the Rfam family "Eukaryotic small subunit ribosomal RNA", at positions 569 to 1005 of the family's 1831-position model. Lineage: Eukaryota; Fungi; Glomeromycota; Glomeromycetes; Paraglomerales; Paraglomeraceae. The record is from RNAcentral.
AGCAGCCGCGGUAAUUCCAGCUCCAAUAGCGUAUAUUAAAGUUGUUGCAGUUAAAAAGCUCGUAGUUGAACUUCAGGCCUGUCCAGACGGUCCGCCUUAAUUGGUGUGUACUGUCCUUGGGUGGGUCCUACCUUCUGGCGAAGCGGCGUGGCCUUAAUUGGUUGUGUCGGGGAACCAGGACUUUUACUGUGAAAAAUUAGAGUGUUCAAAGCAGGCAAAUAUGCUCGAAUACAUUAGCAUGGAAUAAUGGAAUAGGACGAUGGUUCUAUUUUGUUGGUUCUAGGACCGUUGUAAUGAUUAAUAGGGAUAGUUGGGGGCAUUAGUAUUCAAUUGUCAGAGGUGAAAUUCUUGGAUUUAUUGAAGACUAACUACUGCGAAAGCAUUUGCCAAGGAUGUUUUCAUUAAUCAAGAACGAAAGUUAGGGGAUCGAAGAC